AAUUCAAUAGCCUAGUUAAUAAUGAUACUCAUUUGCUUACUAAUUUGAUCAUAUGAUAUAAUAUAUAUCAGGGAAAAAGGCAAUAUACACCAUUAGAGCAACCAACGUCACAACAAGUGUUGAUUGAAAAAGUGUCUGCAGGUCCCAUAACUCUGUUUGUGAUUGGAGCACACACAAAUGUUGCAAUUUUCCUUAUGAAUAAUCCACACUUGAAGAAAAAUGUUGAACAUAUUUAUAUAAUGGGUGGAGGUGUAAGGUCAAGCAACCCAACUGGUUGUUGUCCCAAAAAUGCUUCAUCUUCAUGUGUACCUCGACAGUGUGGUGACCGUGGUAAUAUGUUUACAGAUUAUAAUACUAAUCCUUAUGCAGAAUUCAAUAUCUUUGGAGACCCUUUUGCAGCUUACCAGGUAAUGCACAUUAUUUAAUAUUAAUUAUUGCAUUGCUCCAAAGUUGUGCAAAUAAUUUAUCCUCUGUGUUGCACGAGUGUAAAUACUAGUAACAUACAGUCAUUUUUUAUUCACUAUUAUGUGAAAUUAGUCAUAUAUGUCUCUUUUUAAUUUUUUUUUUAUCUAAACACAUCCUAUAUCUAACAAAAAUAUAUAUACAUAGAUAGCUAUGUUUGUGACAAAAAUUUAAUAUUUUUAAUAGGUGAUUCACUCAGGAAUUCCAAUCACUCUUGUUCCUGUUGAUGCAACAAACACAAUCCCCAUCACUAAAGAAUUCUUUGAUGCAUUUGAAAACAAUCAAGAUACAUAUGAGGCACAAUACAGUUUCAAAUCCUUGAAAAUCUCUCGUGAUACUUGGUUUGACGACCAAUUCUAUACGGUAAUUUCUAAACGAAUUUACUCAUUUUCGUUACAAAUAUAAGAUAAAAUUGAUCAACAAAAAUGAACGUAUUUUAUUUAAAUUUUGAAUUAAAUAUAUUAAUUUUUAUUGAUUAAACUUUUUUAUGCCAUAUUGUGUUACUAAUCAAAUGUUUCAUCUUUGAUAGAUUAUAAAGUAACUAAUAUUGAAAAUAUUCAUUGUUAACAGAGUUAUUUUAUGUGGGACUCUUUCAUGACUGGUAUAGCCAUAUCAAUUAUGAGUAGACCCAAUAACCAAAAAGGAGAAAAUGAAUUUGCUGAAAUGAAGUAUAUGAACAUAACUGUAAUAACUUCAAAUGAACCAUAUGGGAUAUCUGAUGGGUCCAAUCCAUUAAUUAAUGGCCUAAAAGUUCCUAAGUUCAAUGUGCAAAAAGAUGGGGUACAUAGUGGUCAUAUUCAACAAGGACUCAGAGAUCCUCUUUGCUUUGUGAAGAAUGGGAAAGGCAAAUGUCAGGUAUGGUUGCUUUUUCUUAUAAGAUAGUAAAUUUAAUUUGUUAUGCACCAAGGACCAAAAAUAAACAAAAAAAUAUUUGUAAGAAUCAAAAUAAAUAAAUAAAUUUACGUGAAUUAAAACAAAAUAAAAACGCAUAAUUACAUGAACAAUCAUAUAUUUAAUCCUUCAUUUUUCGGUCUUUAAUUUCGCAAUCGAUUCUAUUCUUUUUUUGUAUUUCUAUCUUUCUAUUAGUUACAUAUAAUGAAUGCUAACAUGUAAUGUACUAUACAACAUGUGUCGUUUUAUAGGAUGGUUACACAAAAGAGGUAAGUGGUCCAGAUUCAGUGAGGGUACUUGUUGCCACAAAAGCAAAGCCUAACCAAGAUGUUGGAAGUUCACUAGACAGGGAAUUUUUCAUAAGCUUCUUAAAUGUAUGUUCAAUUUUUUAGUACAUUCUUCAAAGAUUUUAAAUUACUCACAGUUUUAGAAGGACAAAUAAAUUUGUGCUGACUUUGAUUGAAUUCUAAAAAGGAUAUAAACUAAUGUGAAUUUGACUUUGGUUAUUAAUUUGGUGGUUCAAAGGUUCUAAAGCAACCACAACAAACAGGGAGGUACAACUUCACCACACAAUUUCCCUACUACAGAGAAGUAACAUACAAGCCAGAUUUUCAUAAUAAAAUAUUGGGAAAACCUGUUGUGUUUGACAUGGACAUGAGUGCUGGAGAUUUUCUAGCUCUACUUUACCUCCUUAAAGUUCCUGUUCAAGUAAUCGACCUUAAGGUAGGUAUUCUGAUUUUUCUUUACUAAUUGUUUAUUUGUUUUACAUAAAAGCAAAUAUUAACACUCCAAGAUUGAAAAAGGUUCCCAAAUAAAAAACUCUUGAUAGUUUAAGCUGAAUUAGGAACCUUUCUACUUCUAAUUUGAGGACAUGUUACUUACUACCUAGUACAUCAAAAAUAAAUAACUGAUGCGUUACUCUGUGUAUGUUUGAAUUGACGUUAAAUUUGACGAAAUUAUUUACAGUGGCACCAUAAUUUCAUUGAAACUUCAAAGUAUAGUUUUUAUCAAAAUUACGAUGAGUAGAGAAGCACUGCAAUUCUACAAAGUUCACUGUCAAUUCAAACAUUUUUGUUGAAUUAUUUGCAUUUUUUUAUGAAAGUUGAAUUACUAGUAUUUGCAUUGAACUAUUUAAUUGUAGAGACAUAAUAUAGUACAUUUAAUUUAGGUAACAUCUAACUAACUUUGGUUCUAGGCAAUCAUUGUGAGCCCAACUGGAUGGGCAAAUGCAGCAACAAUAGACAUAAUUUAUGACAUACUUCACAUGAUGGGUCGUGAUGACAUCCCAGUUGGUCUAGGAGAUGUUUUUGCCACGAAUCAAACAGAUCCAAUAUUCGGAGCUGUUGGAAAUUGCAAAUAUGUUAAAGCCAUUCCUCAUGGGAGUGGAGGGUACCUUGAUUCUGAUACUCUUUAUGGUCUUGCUCGUAAUCUGCCACGCAGUCCAAGAAGGUACUUUUUAUUAGAUACGUAAAAUUAGUUACAAGUUAGUUAUUCUAGUUAGCUGUUAGUUACAAAUUAGUUACAAGUUAGUUAUUCUAGUUAGCUGUUAGUUACAAAUUAGUUACUUUAUAAGUAUUUCAAUCCAAUGGCUUUGCAUCAAGCUGCACAGUGCAGUUGUUGUAGAGGAUCCAAACACGGUACUUACAUGAAAAAUUAGCCGAGUUUGUUAAUUAUUUCAGGUAUACAGGAGAAAACUCUGUUAAGUUUGGGGCCCCACGGGAUACAGAUCACCCUGAACUUAGACAAUCACUGGCUAUGGAAGUUUGGGAGUCAGUAUUGCAAACAUUGAAACCAGGAUCUAAUGUUACGGUAUUAACAAACGGACCCUUGACUAAUUUGGCAAAGGUUGUUUCUGUGAAAAACAUAAGCUCUAGAAUUCAAGUAAGCAUAUUUGUUAUCAACUAUCUAAAUACAGUAUUAGUUUUAAUUUGUGUAUAAUCAACAAUUAAUAUAUUAUAUGCUCUUCAAGUAGAUUUUAAAGUAAACCAUAAAAACUUUCUAGUCGUUGUAACUUAUAUUGAAUAAGGUCAAAUAUAUUCUUUUGUCACUAUCAUCAAUGUUAAUCUUUUAAUUUGAUGAUUUUAGGGACAAAAACUCAACGGAAAUUUUCAUCAAAGUCACUAAAUUGAAAACUAAAUAUCAAUGAUUUGUUCUGUAAGGACUAAACUUGAUCGGUGGUAGUGCUUAGAAAAUUCCAAAAUGUUGCAGGAGGUUUAUGUAGUGGGGGGGCAAAACANNNNNNNNNNNNNNNNNNNNNNNNNNNNNNNNNNNNNNNNNNNNNNNNNNNNNNNNNNNNNNNNNNNNNNNNNNNNNNNNNNNNNNNNNNNNNNNNNNNNNNNNNNNNNNNNNNNNNNNNNNNNNNNNNNNNNNNNNNNNNNNNNNNNNNNNNNNNNNNNNNNNNNNNNNNNNNNNNNNNNNNNNNNNNNNNNNNNNNNNNNNNNNNNNNNNNNNNNNNNNNNNNNNNNNNNNNNNNNNNNNNNNNNNNNNNNNNNNNNNNNNNNNNNNNNNNNNNNNNNNNNNNNNNNNNNNNNNNNNNNNNNNNNNNNNNNNNNNNNNNNNNNNNNNNNNNNNNNNNNNNNNNNNNNNNNNNNNNNNNNNNNNNNNNNNNNNNNNNNNNNNNNNNNNNNNNNNNNNNNNNNNNNNNNNNNNNNNNNNNNNNNNNNNNNNNNNNNNNNNNNNNNNNNNNNNNNNNNNNNNNNNNNNNNNNNNNNNNNNNNNNNNNNNNNNNNNNNNNNNNNNNNNNNNNNNNNNNNNNNNNNNNNNNNNNNNNNNNNNNNNNNNNNNNNNNNNNNNNNNNNNNNNNNNNNCAGGAAUGCAGCAGACAAAAUAAAUGUGUUUUCAGUUCCUUCAAACCAAUAUGCAGAAUUCAACAUGUUUUUAGAUCCUUUAGCUGCCAAAACAGUGUUGGAAUCAGAAGUUGACAUCACACUCAUUCCACUGAGUACUCAACGCAGAGUGAGUGAAUUCACAACUAUUAUAGGUAGGUUGCGUGGCGCAAGAAAAACACCAGAGGGUUCGUUUUCCAAGCAUCUAUUGUCAAGGUUACACCGUUUGAAGCAAAUCCAUGACAGAUAUCACCAUAUGGUAUAAGUUUCUAUCCACAACUAUUUUUUCUAGCUUAAUCUUCUUUCAGAUCUCAUGAUUUCCAUACUUUAUAUUUAGAUAUAAAGCGUCCCAAGUUUCAAUCCUUUUCUUGGUAUAAAAUCCUCAUAUUGACAUUUGCUAACAAUUAAUUAUUAGCAUCUAUCGUUUAAAAGAAAACUUAUGUUUAUAUUAUAUUUGUUGUGUCGUCUAUCUGCCUUUUCGAUAAAAUAAUACUAAGUUUUGAAAUUUUAUGCAAUAAUUUGAUUGAGUAGAAAAUGAUAAAAUGAUAAAUAAAAUAAUAGUUUAAAUGAAAGGUAAAAUUAAAAGAAAAAAAACUACACCCAAAAUUAUUAUUCCAUUUAUAUAUAAGUAUAGAUUAUUUGUGACCGGACAAGAAGGAGAGUAACCAACUUUAAGCCAUUUAUGUUUGCAGGACACAUUCCUGGGGGAAAUUCUAGGUGCAGUUGUCUUGACUGAUAGGUCUUCAAAUCUGAAGCCAAAGUUUGAGAUGAAGCCCAUUAAAGUCUUAGCUAGUGGCGUUGAAUCCACUGAUGGAGAAAUGGUGGUAGAUGAGAGAGAUGGAAAGUUAGUCAGAAUAUUAAGCAAUGUGGAGGCACAGGCUUAUUAUAAUUUGUAUGCAAACAAGCUUGGCGAUCACUAUCAGUCAGCUAAGGUAGGAAGCUUUAAAGAACAGAGGAGAAGGUGGAGACAUCCUCAUCAUGAUAAGCAUAGCGAAGAGAAAAGUGCUCAAAUCCAUGGUUAAGAAUGGCCACAGCCACCACAAGUCUCAGCUAUAAACUCAUUUUAUCAACAAUUUGAAUAAACAUUCUCUUUAAACAAUUAUUUUUGAAUUUGUCAACAUGAAUGAUAACAUUGUGAAUGUUUAUAAUUCUCAUGCGUAGAACUUUUGCUUUCAUCUAAUUAUUGUCUCUUUGUUUCCUGGUUUAUUUAUGUCCCUUUCCUUAAACUACAUUUUGAUGUUUCCUGUGAACUUAUCUAUCUAUUUGAAUUUUUAAUGUCUACGCUAUUCAAGAUAAUGUCUUUACUUAAACAACUUUAGUGUGAACUUCAUUAGUAACUGAACACAGCGAACCCGUGCAAAAGCACAAGUAAGAAUAUAUAUUAAAUUCCACCAUUCAUACAACUCUCUAGUAUUCUUAUAUCACUCAAUAUUUUUUUCUUAGGAAAAUUGAAAUUUGAAUCCUAGUGCUUGAAGUACCGUGUAGAAUCUAGAAAGCAUUCAGUAAAAAAUCUAGCAUGCCUUACAGCUUUUCCUACAGUAUCCAGGAAGGUCUGAAGAUCCAACCAUAUACACAGGAUUGUUGGUGCAUUCUCCAAGGGAAGCCCAUCUCUCACAGCUUUCAUGCUGAUCGGAACAUCCUCCUCCAGCACCUACAUUCUUAUCAAAUGAGUCUACGUGAAUCCACUUUGUCGCUGACCAUUUCUCCCCUUCGAUUACUGGGCAUCCUGCAUGGAGACUGCUAGUGUCUGGUGUAGCAUUUGUGUGAAGACUGAAGAAAAGAAGCGCAUCCCCUCUACGCGGUUUCACUAUGCAAACCCGAGAAAUAAUAAGAGAAAAAACAAUAAACUAGCAUAAGAUAAGAUGACCUGCAAAAACUUUACAUUAAAGUAUUAUAAGAGGAAAACCCACAAUAAAAGUAAUUACUUAUCCAGUUGCUCACCUGCUAUUCCUUUUUUCGCACACUCAGAGAGAUCACUACUUGUUUCAGAACCUCUGCGACGUGGAGGUUCCUGUAAUUCAAAUGAAAAUCUAUAAGAUAUCAAAUUUAGCUAUUGGCGGUAAAUGUGCAAAUAAUUUCCUCUGGGAAACUAUCAGAUCCACUCUUUGAAUAGGAAGAAACCAGAUAAGAGGAUGGUAAGAAUAUCAUAUGAAGAGAAAACUGUAUCCUCCAAGACUACAAGCAGACAAAUGAACAGUGUGCAAAACAUGCAUUGUCUAUAUAUGUAUUGUACAGUCAAUCAAUAUAUACUGCCUGAAGUUUUCAUAAUCGAGAAAAAAAAAAUCUAUUACAUGUUAAUAAAAUAAAAAUAUUUUAAGUUUUUACAAAUUAAAAUUUUAUGCCACUAAAGCACCCCAAAAUAGUCUAUAAUAUGUAGGACGAUUUUUCCUUUUUAAGAUAUGAUAUAUUUGGUAUCAUUGUAAGUGUACAGUGUUAUAAAAGACUUGAUAAAAUUAGAAGAGUAUAUGAUAAAAAUUGCUACCAUUUUUUUUUGUUUUUUCAUAGGUUUCCUCCACUAAAGAUAUUCUUAUUUAUGUUGUGGGAAUUUAGUCUCUUUCCUAAAUCCAACCGUAGUCAGUGAAAUUGCUACCAAUUUACAUAUGAUAAAUAUUACUACCAAUUAGAAGAGAAUAUAUGAUAAAAAUUGCUACUAGUCUCUUAUAAUUUUUCUACAUUUAUUUUCUAUAAAAAAAUUUAGACAUUUGUAUUUGAAUUUUUUUCCUUUGUGGAGGCAAGGGCCUCCAUAUCAACAUACACAUCCGCCACUGUGUCCGAGUAUCCAGCCAAGGGGUCCCCCAGUCAUAUACACAAACUUGCAUUUCCUACAAAUUUUGUGCUCAGUUUCUAAGGAAUUUAUUUAGUAUCAUAGACAGAAUAUGAGAUAAAACUACAUACUGAUUAUGAUAUCAAGGUCAUUCAAACAAGAGAAUUAAUAUAUGGCUAAGUAUAACUGCAGUGCUUUCCAAUAAUAUAUUAAAAAAUAUUCAAGAUAAACACACAUCAAUUCCUAGUUUACUGUACAAACCUUUGCAACUGGGAACAUAGUUUCACCACCUUUAGUCACAUUAGUGAGAUACAUGAGAACAGUCACGAAGCGAUGCCCACCUUGAGCUAUGUUAACUUUAUCAGUAAAAUAAUCAUAAUGUGGGUCAUAUUUCUGUCCAUGCUCAUAUCUCAAUACUUGUAUGUCUUCCCCAUUUUCUGAAAUUCAAACACAAAUAUUACAAGACUGAUUAGAGUCUGACUGCUUGAUAAUAGGUAGGAACAAUUUUCAUAUUUUAACAGAUCAUAUCAAUCAAGCACAUGUUCAUUUUUUUUCUACAACACCGGGCUUUUAAUCCUGGAACAUGUAUAACUAAUCAAUGUGGGUAGCUUAUUUUACGUUUUCAAUUAAACUUUUCAUUUAAUUUUACCUUUUUUUAGUUUUCACCUACUGGAUGAAUAUUGCUAGUAUUCUCAUCCCGACAAACAACUGAACAUAGUCAUGAUUAUUUGAUCCAUUAUUAUAGAUUAUUCUGCCCUUUCAAAAAGAUUAUAGAGUAAUAUGCCCUUUCAUUACUAUAUUAUUCAUUCUAAAGUCAAUAAAGGAAGGAAGUUACAAAAACAGCGAAUGGGGAAAAAACCUUGAAAUUUAUUAACAUGUUUUGAGUUUAAGAAACAAGCCUUCCCAUCAGCUCACGAAAAAUCAAACAUUAUGGAUAUAGAAAUAGAAAAGCUAACCAAAUUGACAAUACCGAAACAUUGAGCAUUGACAAAAACAUAUUUUCAGGAGUAGGAGAAAAUAAAAUACAAGAACAGCAUGCAGGUUUGCAAGAUGAUGAUGUACCUUUAGGAAGAAAGGUCCAAGAUGAAAUCUUGUCCUCAAUACCAGCAACAAUAGGAUCCUAUAAAUAAAUAAUUAAAGGUGAAGAAAACGUAAAAGAAGUAUAAAUGAAAAAAUAAUUGCAUCAAAUAAGGCCUAUUUGAAUAAACAACUUAAUUAACCGCUUCUGGCAUACGAAGUUAUCAUAUACAUGCUUAAAUAUAAGAAGUUAUCAUAUAAACUAUAUGGUAUAAGCUGUUUUCAUAAACUAUCAUGUAAAAUUUAUGGAAAUAAAACUUAAAAACAUGUGAUAAGACGACUACAUAAGCUCUUCCAAGCAGUAACAGAAAGUAAAUAAGUUAAACUUAAGUUGAUCCAAACACCCUAAUUAGAAUAUGAAAAGAAAGAAAUUACCUUGUUUUUGGAAAUGAACAUGCCAGAGCUUGUUCGAACAUCACUUAACUUGCUAUCACCGGAUAGAUUAUCAGCAACGGCAGAUCUCUUCAGCUCCGAUUUCGCCUAAAUAAACAUCAGGUAGUUAGUUAGUUAGUUAGUUGCAUAAUUGAGAGCAACAGAGUUAUAAAUUCUGCAUAGAGAUUCAAAUAUAUCAAUCAACUUACUAAGGAGAUCAAGUGAUCGCAUUCCAAAUCGGUGAGAAAACCUUGGUAAACAAAAGCUCUGCAUAUCACAUAUACGGAUUUGACUUGAGUUUCAUAAAUAAACUUAGUUGGAAGAUAAUAGAAGCAAAAAGAGAGAGAGAGAGAGAGAGAGAGAGAAGAAUGUGAAAAAUGGAAAGAGACCUUGGAAUCCAUGAAAUCUGUUUGACUUUAGAAGGAUUGAUGAUGGAACUGGCUGAACCAGCGUAGGAGCUAUGAACUUCAUCCGUUUGAGAGAUCAGCACCAGAAGCAGCAAAAACCAAACCUUAAUCAUUUCAGAUUUGGAUUUGGGUUUUAAUUUGGAUUUGGAUACAAACUUGUUCCGAAUCCAAUUCACACACACCGAGCGGGACGGUUAAUUUUUUUGUUGGGUAAGGGAACUUAGACUUCCACUCAACUUCAAUUAAUGUUUUUGCAUUAACUCUUUUUAGUCCAAUAUUUCGGGAUAUGUUCUAAUCAGAUAUUUUGCUGUUUUUUUUUAAAGGGAAAACUUGGGUGCAACUACAUGAGUACUAGUAUUUGUUCUUCGGUUACAACAUGUCAUGUCUUAACAUUUCAUGCCAUGUAAACUAGUAUUUAUUUUGAGGGAAUAAUAGUUAAAAAAUUACAUGUGAUUAAGCAGAUGAUUAAUUUAGUUAUUAAUAGAUGUAGUAAAUAUCAAAAAUCAUUCACCUUCUAUGUAACUUAAUAAACUACAAAUGUACAAAUUUAUAUAUAGUUCAACUCAUAAAAAUUAUAGUUAAACACGUCAAAUUUCUUUAUUAACGAAGUUAGAUAGGCGGUUAGUAGGUUUCAAUAUAUUUGGCAUGUUCCAAGUAAAAAUAUAUGGAAACUAUAUUAACCACUCCUGGUGUAUUUUUUUAUUUAUACAUAUCUAUUAACCAUAAAUGGAACUUAAUCAAUUAUUUAUGGAAACUAUAUUAACCACUCCUGGUGUAUUUUUUUAUUUAUACACUUACAAUUUAAAAAAAAAAAAUAUUCCUAACAAGUUUUCUAAUAAAAAAAUAUUGAGGUGGUCAAUAUUUAAUUAACCAUUGUAGAAAAAAAAAUCCACCAUGAUUUAUUUUGAAUAUUAUAACCAACAAAAUACAAUAGCACCAUAGUGUUCACCAAAAAUAAAUACUUAUUAAACUACUAUUAAUUAUAUCUCAUCACAACAUCAACCAAUUAAUUUAAGAAUUUUUUUAAAAUAAUAAUAUUAAUUGUGGAUCAAUAUUUGAGUUCGACAAAUACAUUGUAUUUUUUCUUAGAGGCUGGAAAUAGGUUCCAUAAUAUAGAGAUUCUAAUGUAAACUCAUCUCAACCAUUAAAAUCAAGUACUAGUAUUACUAGUGACUCGCAUUAAAUAGCAUAGGAUGAACUAAUAAAUGGAGUAUGCAACUCUGUCAUGAAAUGUCAUUCGGUUGAUUCAAAUUUUACAGGCUUUCUUGCUAAAAAAAAAUUUAUUACACGUUAAUAAACAUGUUAAUAUACAAUGAAGAAAAAAUGGUGUUGCUACAAGGAGUUGGAGCACAACGUCAAUGGACAUUGCGUGUGAUCAAUCCCUCAAAUAUAGUGUACAAGUCCUUGUUUUCAGGCCCAAAAAUUUCAUCUGCUUUAUGUAGAGUCACCUGCAAUUUUGCACGCACAGAGCCAAGUGUCUAUUAACUGAAAAUACGUGGUUGGUGGGAGAGGAUCAGAGGUAACAAGGCAGAGACUGGAUGAAUUACCUCUUUUGUUUGUUUAUGGGAAUUUAGCUCCUUAACAUUUGCCAAGAAUGCACCAAAUUGCUCGUAAGACAAGCGGUUCCUAAUGAUAACAACUGUGAGAUAAAAUCGAGGACAAUGACCUAACUGAUCUAAUUUGACCAAAAAAGAGCAACUCACAGUAACAUGUAAAAGAUUAAUCGAACUUGGUUCCUCUACAGUUGUUGGUUCCUCUACAACUGCAGUAUAUGGCUGCAAUGCUGUAAGUGCAACAUCAUACUGCAGCUGUAGAGGAUCCAAUUUUAUUAUGAAAACUACAUCAUGCAUAUGGACAGUGUUUAUGUCUCAAAUGAAAUCUACUGAUGUUUCUGUUGGUGGAACUUCGAGUUUCUGAACUUUAUAAAGUUCGAAGACAAGGGUCCUCACCUGACUUGGCGAAAGAACUCCUUCCCAUCCACUCGUGCUCGUCCUGUAACAUAUAAGUUGAGGGAGAAAAAUUAAAAUGAGAGAACUAGUCAAACCUAAAUAAAACAUUCUUCAUAUGGCUGCAAUUUUAUAAAUAUUAAGCACCUUAUUCUUCAUAAGGAUCCAAUAUCCAAGAAAAUAAUCCAAACAGGGUAACCUAAUGAAAACCUAGAUGAAGUCUUUUUGCACAAUGCAAUGGAUAACAGAGUUGGAAGAACUCACCAGCUUGUGAUCCUGUUACUGGGUCAGAACUUGAUAUUGAACCGUGGCCUAAGGUCAUCGAGGAAAACACGGAAGACCUAUCAUCAUGCAUGCCUCUUGAGGUUGAAAAGGAAAUGGAAUGUCGCCUUGGAGACAUGGGUCUAGAUGUUCUCGUUGGAGAUACUGAUGCAGAAAGACUAGGAGGGGAACCAGGGGGGGUAAUCCGAGGUGUGGUACUUUGCGAUGCUAUGAGUAUAUUAUACGGCACUCUAGCUCUUAUGGCUGCAAUAUUGGAAUAGAAAAAGCAAGGUCAGGAUACACAUCAAAAUUAUAGUUAUUCAGUUUUCCGCAAUAGCAAAAAAGAGACACCUUAUUGUCUUUUAAGGUAAUCCAAACCAAACUGGUUGUAUACCCAUUUGCCUCAUAAAUGAUAGCACGUAGUAGUAGUACAUACCAUCGGAUUCUUGAUCCUCGGCAAAAGAAUUUCCACUAUCAGAGACAGAAACAGAAACACGGGGCAUUGAAGAAGAUAUAGACGGUGGCAAUGAAGCGUCGUUAUCUGCAAUAAAAUGAGAACUUCUCAGAACUAGAAACGAAAAAGUACAGCUGAAGGAGCUCAGUUUGAAUGGUUUGUUAGCAGGGGCAGGAAAGAGAGAAAUAUGGAUUAUCAUCAUUAUUAUGAUUUUAAACCAACGGAAACAUAACAUGUGCAAGUGCAGACAUUCAAAUGGUAAGAUGUUGAAUGCACAUUAAAAGGACAGUUUCCUGAAGUGCACCCCAAAUCUUUUAUAUAGUUCUCUUGAUAAGGAAAUGAGCUUGUGACUUGUGAGAAUUUAAAGGUACUAUAUUUGCAUAAAUGAAUUAAAUUAAGCAAAGGGCCUAAAUGAGAGAGGCAGAGAGCAAUUUACAACAUGUUGAAAGUACCUCCAGAUUGAGACGAAGAACUCAUACUCGUUUGACUCUGUAUUUUAGCAACAAUGUCUGGAGCUUCUCCCUGUGCCAAAUACCGGUAAAAAUUCAAAAGUUAAAUAAGGAAAUACCCUUGAAACAAAUAGCAUAAGCUAAUACUAUUAAAAGCAAUUCAUACAUGAUAAGCAGCAUAAUCCAGAAUACCAAACUCUCUUCAUUAAACCAAUCCAAGACUAAAAUAAUAAGCAAAACAGAACUUCUUAAUCACAGACAGCAGCAUUAAAUAACAAUAAUAUUAAGGGUCUUGCUAACACGUGCCUAUGCCCUUAGGAUACUCGUUAACCUUUUCCAUAAUAAUAGCAACUUACAUAAUUAUCACUAUCCUCCUGAAGUGAUUGCAUAAGCGUCCUUCUGAAAACCUCCAACUGCGUACAUUUACACCAACAAGUUCACGUAAGUCCAAGAAUCAUCCACAUUCCAUAUAUAAUAAGUCCUUACUAACGAAACAAUGCAUAUAAACCGUUCCCUUCAAAACCUUACUCAAAUUAUUACUACUACUAUUUUAGAUAAAAGUCAUGGAUAACAGAAAGUAAAAUAGAAACUGCAUUGAUAAUUAUAAUGUUGAUUACAUCAACCAGUAUAAUUAGGUUUAUAUAACCAAUAAGAACAACUGAUUUUUAACUGUUAUAUUUGUAACUAACUAAUGAAACUAAUUUGUAACUAACUUUUACAUCUCUAGUACAAAUCACCCUAAACCAAUAAUAAAAAUAUCAGUUUCUCAUUUCACAAUCAUUACCAUUUUUCCUAAAAACACUACUGUGAGUAAGUAACCCCAAUGUAAAUGAAAUUAAAAUUACCAAACCAAGUUAAUUUAUUGAAAGACAGAAAAAAAAACCUAUAAAAAAAGGGCUGAAAUAAAAAUAAGUAUUUUAUUCUCAAUAAUAAUAACAGUAAUAAAGAUUAUUUUUUACUAAAAAAAAUAAAUAAUAUAAUUAUAAUAAUAAUAAUAGUAAUAAUAAUAAUAAUAAUAAUAAUAAUAAUAAUAAAGAAAUCCUAGUAAAACGGACCUUGGAGACAUCUCGAUUGAGCUUUCUGACGGUGUUGGAAAGUGAAGCAUUCUCCUUAAGCAAGCUCUCCUAUAGUAUCAAGCUCAAGCACCGAAAUUAAAUAAAUAAAUAAAUAGUACGAAAGAGAAAGAGUUAAAUUUGAGUUAGUUGGGACCUUAAAUUGUUCGGCGCGGACGAGGUUAUCGGCGGUUACGGAGAGGGAGGUAUCGAGGGAUUCAAGCUGAGACUGAAGUUCUUCGAUGAGUCUAUCUUUCUUGGCGAUCUUGGCGCGAAGUUCCGACGACUCUAAUUCAAGGGCGUUUACACGUGUCAUUAAAGCAAUUGAGGUGAUCUUGCGUGCUAAAUCGAGUUGCUCGAACGGAUCUGACGGUAGCACUUGGAUGACAUCUUCGGGAAGACCGAACUUCGACCCACCCGAUUCCGCCGUCAUCGUCUGAUCUUUGUUUUCCUCCUCUUUCUUUUUUUUUUUUUUACGGUUUAUUUUAUUUAAAAAAUAACUAUUUCACAUUAUUUUCGUUUUUUUUUUUGUACAAGUUGAUUAUGAUUUUGGAGACAUCUCGAUUGAGCUUUCUGACGGUGUUGGAAAGUGAAGCAUUCUCCUUAAGCAAGCUCUCCUAUAGUAUCAAGCUCAAGCACCGAAAUUAAAUAAAUAAAUAAAUAGUACGAAAGAGAAAGAGUUAAAUUUGAGUUAGUUGGGACCUUAAAUUGUUCGGCGCGGACGAGGUUAUCGGCGGUUACGGAGAGGGAGGUAUCGAGGGAUUCAAGCUGAGACUGAAGUUCUUCGAUGAGUCUAUCUUUCUUGGCGAUCUUGGCGCGAAGUUCCGACGACUCUAAUUCAAGGGCGUUUACACGUGUCAUUAAAGCAAUUGAGGUGAUCUUGCGUGCUAAAUCGAGUUGCUCGAACGGAUCUGACGGUAGCACUUGGAUGACAUCUUCGGGAAGACCGAACUUCGACCCACCCGAUUCCGCCGUCAUCGUCUGAUCUUUGUUUUCCUCCUCUUUCUUUUUUUUUUUUUUACGGUUUAUUUUAUUUAAAAAAUAACUAUUUCACAUUAUUUUCGUUUUUUUUUUUGUACAAGUUGAUUAUGAUUUUUUCUACGAAUUUCUGAACUGUGAAUACGAGAGCGUUGUUCUGUUAUUCAAUUGGUUGUAGACACCGCAGACUGGGGUAUAGUAUUAAAUUAUUUAAUUUGAUUCCAAAACGUGUGGCUUGGCAAUAAUGAAUUGCCUCAAAAUAAUAUAUUGAAAUUGGAUAAAACAAAUUUGACAGAAAACAAGGGAAAAUAGAACUCCGAGAAAAAACAAAAUACCUGUGGUCAUUGACCAACGGAUUAAGUACUCUUAAAAAAUACUAUAAAUUAAGUACCAUUAUGAUGUUGCUCACUUUUUCAUAUUUAGUUUACUACAAAUCCAUUUAAAAGUACCCCCAUUUUUUAAUUCAUAAAUUAUUUUUUAAAACGUUUUUAAAUCGUUCUCCAUUAUAAAAUAUAAAUAAUUGUUACCAUUUUCUCUUUUAUUUAAUGUUAUAUCUAAAUCACGAAAUAUCUAACCUAUCAUCAUUUAUUUCAGAUAUUUUAUCAAUAAAUAAAAGAUGAAUUGUUAGUAUGAGAACAAUAUUACUGUUGUCAAAAGUUAUAUUGUCAAAUGUGAGGAAGCCAACAAAUUUCCUUAUUUUUGCUAUAAAAUUAAUCGAAUAUUGAGAUAAGAGUAAAAUAUAAAAUAUGAUGAUUUAUUUCAUCUCUUAAAUGUACUCAACCAACUUUCUCAAGUAGUGUGCAUAAAAAAAAAAAAAAAUGGCGUUCAUCAAAUGUUUGUUGUUUGAAUAUAACACACAAAAAUUAUCAAUUUAUUUUUAUUAAAUAUUAAUAUCUUUACUUUUGAUAUCUUUAGAAAAUAAUAUUUCUUUUAGACUCAAUUAUAAGAAAAAAAUUGUAUCAAACAUAAACAAAUAUCCAACUUAUGUUGCUAUAUUUAAUAUUGUUAUUCCAAAAAUAUUGUUAGUAUGUGUUUAGAUGAGAUAAUAUUUUGAGGGAAAGUAAAUUUUUUAGGAAAUUCAAAUACUUCAAUGUAUAUUAUGGAUGAUAAAUUUUAAGAAUUUUAAAAUGAAAGAAUUUUAUGAGGUAUUUUGUUAAAAAUAAAUUUCAAAUAUCACCUAAAAUCUAAAAAUUUCAAAAUUCCACAUCAAAUGGUUCUAUAAUUUUUAAAAAUUUAUAAUUUUGAUCCUAUAUGAUUUAAAUUUGUAUAUUAAUCCUUAUAUUUUUUUUGCAUAUGGGUCCCUAAAAAUUGGCAAAAUAGUUCCCAAAUUUUUCAAAUAUUUCAGUUUUUGUCCAAGUUUAAUUUUAAUUUUAAUUUUACAUAAAAACUUUUAAAAUUUAGAAAAAUGGUUAUAUUUUAAAAGAAUAAUUCAUUUAUCCAAAUAAUCAAAUUUAUAAAUUAAAGAAAUUCAAUUAAAGCAUUUGAAUUGUCUAAAAUCAUAAUUUUUCUAGAAUUUUCAAUUAUCUCAUCCAAACACAAUAAAUUUUUUUUUUAAGUUGUGAGGAUAUAAAAAUUAUAAUUAUACAUAAAAAAAACAAUUAUAAUUGGGGGUAAUCAAGUUAGUAAAUUUUUUAUCGUAAAAAAAAGUUAGUAAAUUUUUUUCUUUUUUUUUAAAUCAAGAAAAUCAAAUGUUAACUAUUCUUUUUUUUUUUACAAUUUUUAAUUAUUUUCUUUAAUAAAUAUAAAAAUAAGUAUUUUGCUUACAAAUAAGUUCAAAGAAAGUAUUAGUUAUUAAUUAUAGGACAUAAUUGAAUAAAAUAUUCAAUCUGCCCUCUGAAUAUAAGUAACAAGCAAAAAUUAUUUUUGUUGUCAUAAAUAUAAAACAAAAGUUAUCAACAAGAGUUGGGUUUAAUGGAAGGUGAUAGACUUCUAUAAUGUGAUAAAGUUGAAUUUCAAUUUUUACUAAAAUAGAUAUGUGUUUGACGCGUCUCGAAUACGAUAUCUAAAAUAAAGAAAAUUUAUUAAAAAAUAAAAAUAAUUUAUAAAAUAAAAGAUAAUUAAUUAUAACUAAAGUUUAUUUUUAUGGAACAAAUUCUUAUUACAGUUAAUUUAGAUCAUACAAUUAACUUUUGUAUUGCUUUGAAUAAAUUAGAUGAGAUCAACUACUAUUUUAAAAGACAUGACAUAGUUUAUUAGGAUUAAGAUUCGAGGUGCAAGAGUUUUAAGAGUCUCUACACCUAUUUUUUCUCUUUAUUUUUUCUCUUUAACAGCUAUAAAAUUUGUUGUAAACGUGACAUUGAAGCAUGUAAUCCAAAAUAAAAACGUUUUAAAUGUUUUUAUAUUUUUCUAUUUUACCAAAUAUUAAUUUUUAGCCUCUUAUUUUUAAAAUCAAGCUUUUUAUCUUCUAUUUUAUCAUUUGUAGUAUAUACUUUGCUCCCCGUUAUUUUUUUAUAAUGUUGUAUCUUCAUUAAUAAUGUGAUAGUAAUGCAUAUCACACAAUUUAAUUUGAUAAAAUUGAAUUUAUAUCAUUAAUCAAUAUUUAUUUUAUUAUUUUUUAUUUAAUAAAAUUUUAUGGACACAUUUGUAGCAACAAUACGAACAAAGAUUACCAAGAAUACAAGAAAAUUGCAAAGAAAAUUUAAUUGUGUCACAUAAUAUUUUUUAUAAUAAAAAAAGUUAAAGAAAUAGUACUUAAUCUAAAACAUAAAUACUUUUGAAUUCAUUGAACACUUACAAAAUCAUGACCAGAUAACUGGGGUUAGUUGUGUUACAUCAUUGAACAAAAUCUCAAAAUAUGGGGCCAAAAGCUCCAUUUUAGAAAUAAGAGAAUUAUCUUAGACAUCGUCCAAUGGAGAAAGAAAAGUAGAUAUGAAAAUUAGAGAAAAUUAGAGAAGGCACAGUAAAAGCAGAUGGAAUCCAAAUCUAAUACAUGUAUAAUAUUCUUUUUAUAACAACACUAAAUUAUUUCAGUUUACAAUUUUCAAAGUUUUAGCUAAAUGUGUAUUUUUUAUCAAGUGUAUGAUAAUUUUUAUGGUAUAUGAAUUAAUUUGAAAUGUAUCGGUCUGAUUUUUAAAUUAAUAGUUAAAUAUUUUUUUAGGAAAUAAUUAUUUCUUAUUAUUUAUGUGAUUAAAAUAACUAAAUAUUAUUUAUUAAAAAGAUACUUUAAAUAAAAUCCUUAUUUUAUUUUAUUUUAUUUUAUAAUCACAAGUUCAUUGUUCGUGUUAGCCACUAACUCCAUAACAAUCAUUUCAUAAAAUACGGUGAGAUGUAUAAUAUGAGUUGGGUCAACUGACCAUAUAAAUUUGUAUGAGGUUGUUUAUCCGCCAUUCGUAGUUGCUCACCCAUCUUAAAAUAUAGUAUUGGAAGUUUUGAUCUAGUAGUGUAUUUUAUUAUACAGCUACAAAAAUUAGCAAACAUAAAAGGCAUAAUGAACGAUCAUCAUUUUCUAUUAGGGUUAAUUGGUCUGGAACUAGAAAGAAAAUGUUGAUUUUGACUUUCUUUUUUACAAUGGGUCGGUCAAUUGCCCCAUUAUAGAUUUUGUAUAUUAUUAAAACAAAUGCAUAAACUACACUAAAAAAGUAAUGUGUAAUAAAAAAGAUAUAUAAAUAAAAUAUAUUAAUUAUAAUAACAUUACUAUAGUUGUUUGGUUCGCAUCUCAAGUGUUGAUUUUGAGUAAUGUAAAAUUAAUACUUGAACUAAUUAAUAAAUAUUGAACUUGAUUUGUUUCGUAUACUUUAGAUAUGAAAAAGUGAAUCAAUAUAAAUUGUUCGAAUUUAUUUAUUUUUGUUAAUUGAAUUAUUGAUUUAAUUCUUAUACCAUUAACAACAGCAGUAGGGAUUAGGAAUUAGAAAGAAAGGUGAAGGAGAAAUGCAAGAAAGAUAAAUAAGUGGAAUCUGCCACUUUUUAUUAUCUAUUUAAAGUAGAGAAGAAAAAAAAGAAAAAUGUUACUCAACAUUUCUCAUGAUAAUCAUCACAAUUUUAAAAAUUAUUGACUAAAAAAUAUUAUCACUUUUAGUUUUCAAUAUAAUUUUAAAUAUUUUUUUCUUCAAUUAUAUCCUAUAAUUAAUACUCCCUCUGACCACUUUAUUAAAAAAAUUAGUUAGAUAUAAUUAAUUUUCUAUAUUUUGUAUUAAAAAUAAUUUAAAUUUAUUAAAUUUUAAAUAUUUUUUUUAAUUAAAGUGAGGAUAUAUUAUAAAUACUAACAUUAAAUGAGGUAUUAUGUAUUAUGUAUAAUAAUGUUCGGAUGAAGUAUUGUGUAUCAAAAUGUUUUUUUACUUAUAAGUUAUAAGAAUGAUUAAAAUUUGAUGUCACUUUUUUACUUAUAAUAAUAAUGAUCCGAUGAAGUAUUAUAUAUUACAUUUAAAUUUUAAUAUUUAUGAUAAUCAAAAUACGCCCACACCCACGUUAAUAAUAGUAAUCAACUGAAGUCAUAAUUCAAUUAAUUGAAUUUAUCAAUUUUUCUUAAAUUGGGUUAAAAUGGUCAACCACAAUAGUUAUUUUAGAAUUUAGGAAUAUUUUAUUACUAAUUUAUCAUUUAUGUCAAUUUUACUCUUAAAUAAAAACAAAAAUAGAAAAACUAAAUUGAUGUAUUUAAUUUAAAUUAAAUACAUUAAUUUUAUUUAAUAUACUAUUAUUUAGAUUUUAGAUUUAAGAGAAUAAUAAAUAUUUAUCUUUUCUUUAAAUUUUUUAAUCUUUCUCUUAUAUAGAACAGUAUCUCAAUUAUCUUUCAAACAUAAUAGUGUUUGUAUCUUUUCCAUUUCUUUAUCCUGUGUUUGGAAUCAAUGAGUGUGCAAAGAAAGAAAACAUGAUUUUCUUAAAAUUUUCUACCUUUUGGGCAAAAUUGAUCACUAAGAGCGAACAAAAGUUUUCCAUUUCACAAUGCAAAAACUUCUAUAUGUCAUUUGGGAAGAAAGGAUUGAAAAGAGUUGAUAUUUAAUCAAAAUAACACUUUUGCUCUAAUAAAUAUUUACAGUUUCGGUACAUAAUCGUGUGAUGCGUUUGUGUUGAAAUUGAUUUAAUAUGUACAUUAAAUAAUAAUAUUUUUCUUUAACUAAUAAACAUUUUCUUUCAUUUUAUUAAGUAAAAAAAAAACCAUUUAAAACAUUUUACUUUCAUUUUAUUGAUAAAAUAAUUAUUGCUAAUUUAUUAAUAUUAGUAUUUAUUUUAAAAUUGUAAUGAUUUUUUUAUUCUCAUUAAUAUUUAUUAAAAAAUGCAUUUAUCUUAGACAUUGUUAUUUUCUUUUUUAUGUUUUUAUUUCCUUCAUCACAUCUUAUUUUUACCUAGAAAUAUUUAUGUAAUUUUUAAUACAUAUUAUUUAUUUCCUUUCAUUCUUCUCUCUUAAACCAAACUAUUAAAUUAAUGAUCUCAUAUUCUAUUCAUUUUCUUCUAACUUUCAUUUACACACCAAACAAAGCAGUAAUGUCACUUUCUUCUCCAUACCGAUCACAAAGAAUUACCUCCCAAAUCAGCUACCUCCCGAAGCAGAUGGGAAACUAAAUGAGUUGGUUUGGUUCGGUAGCAAAAAAAAUCAGAGGUCCGAAGCAAGAGUGGGUCCCUGAUGACCCCAGCUAAACAAACAGCGACCCAAUCUUGUCAGCCAACAACAGUAUCUAUCUCUUCUCGUGAGUCGUGACGCGUCAUUUUGGUCCACUAUGGCAACAAGGACGGUGAUUUAUUUUAUCAUUCCCCACCAACUAUAUAUCCCCCCUAAUACCAAUUUCUAAUUCCACCUCUGUAUAUUAUUUCACUUUCACACACCCACCCCCAACCCAUUUUCAUUUUUCUAACAUUUAUUUAAAUUAAAUAAUCUCCUCUCUUCUCUUCAUCUUUCUCUUCUUCUUACAAAGCUACCACCGUUUUUUGUUUUUACACAGCUUUACUUUUGACUAUUUCAUUACCCAAACCACCAUGGCAACUCAGGUUUUGAACCCUCACGACUAUUUCAUCAUACCUCAACCACCCUCCUUCUCCCGCCGCUGCAACUAUUACGGCUACAACAACCGUACCACGACCUCCAGGUCUCACCGGAAACAUGUUGCACGACCAGACCUGAGAAAACGGAACGAUAAGAGUUCCUUCCAACUAGAGACAGCGUCGGUCUCGAAGAGAUCCAGCGCCGAUGAUUCAGCGACUGGGAAGAGCAGCAGCUCGCCUGUGGAGAAGGUGACGAUUCUCCGGAGAGGCCAGUCGCUGGAUUCGUCGUUGGUAGCGGCGAAGAAUGACAUGUACGCUGGAUCUGCGUUCGCGAUGUCUCCGUCACCAAGCGCGCUUCCUCUGCCGUCUUUUAUGACAAAGAAGCAGUCGCUAGAGACGUUUGACGACUCCGCAACGCGAGAUCUGAGGCGUUUGCUCCGAAUUGAUUGACGUACAACAAGUUUGGUUCGGGUCGGGUCAAACCCGAAUAACAAUCCAUAUGUAGUUCCGCUUCCACCUCUUUCUCUCUUGUAGAAUCGUUUUCUCUCUCCCUCACUGGACUCCGUUACCGUAAAUCAGCUUUUAGUUUCAACUUCUGACCCGAUCGUGAUUUUUUUAAACGAAAAGGUUAGAUCUGAAAUUGGGGGUGAUUUGUUGUCUAAAUGGUUUCGAGUAGCAUAGAGCCAUGUUGUGCAGUUCUGCUUCAUUUUGUAAAACUUAUUAAAUGGUUAAAGUAUAAAUUAGGGUUGCUGUAAUAUCAGUUUAAAGUUAAUUCAUAAAAUUAUCCGCCGUGUUGGUGGUUGAUGCGUAUAUUACGAUGUUUGUCCUUGACUGUGUUAACUGUGUCACUGUAAUGGGAAAUUGUGAAUGGGAAACACUUGAUGCUUUUUGUUAUUCUUUUGUGCGAGCUCGUUCUACGUUCAAGUAUUUCUUUUCUUCUACUUUAAGAUUAAGAUUUAAUUUCUCCCUUGUUUAUAACCUAUUUGAGAAUUUUUAAAUAAAAAGCUGUAAAGAGAUGUGUCAAUUAAUUUAAUCAGGUCAUUCUAUAAAAAUCAUUUUUUCAGAUCAUUAUCCACCUAAUAAUAUAUUAAUAUGUACAUAUUUUUAUCAAUGAAAUUAUUUAUUAAAUAUUUUCAAAUUAAAUAUAAUUCCCUUAUGUCUUAAUUUAAAUCCCCAAUUAAAACUUCCAACUUCUCUAUGGUCAAUGAAAAAUAUUGAAUAGUAUUAAGUAGAUAAUGAUGUAUAAAAUUGAUUUUUAUGCCACUGUUCAAACAUUGACUAACGGGCAACUAACUGAGAUAUAAAACAAAAUUUAAUUAAAAACUUUAUAUUAGUUAUGGAACUUGAUUACAAAAGUUUUUAAUUUAGAGUCCUAUUUAAAAAUUUUCAAAUUAUUUGAAGAGAUGCAAGUAAUUAAACCUUACCAUAACAUUUAACUAAUAAAACAAUGAGACAAAUUCUGCGCGGACUUCCAAUUCCAGGUACUUGAAAAUUGUUAAAAAAACUUUUAACAACAAUCCUGUUACAUAGAGAAGAGUUUAUGGUCUCCUUCAUUUUAUUUGACAGGAAAUAGUCCCCUUGAUUCAUUUUCAUAGAUCCCAAAAUGAUUUGAUUGGUAUCCAGAUGGUUAUAUGAUAUUUUUGUGCCAUAUUUUAUUAUUAAAAGAUUGACGAUUGUUUAAUAAAAAUAAAUGAAAAAUAGAUGAGUCUCUCACAUCUAAACUCUCGUAAAAAAUUGAAGUAUUGGUCUCCGAUGAAUUAUAUGUUAUACUUGUGCAUCAAAAUAUUCACUUUAGUUUCUUUUAGAAGGUAACUCAUCAUAAGUUUAAUGUAACUUUUUGAUUGAAUUUGCUAUCUAGUUUUUGAAUUUGUAACUAUCAAUCAAUUUCGCCUUUGAAUUUUUUGAAAUAGUGAAACCGUCUCUUAAUUUACCUCACAUUUAUCAAUUAAGUCCCUCCUUCAAAUUUAGAUAUUCGAAAAGUUGACACACACUUAAAUACUAAUUAAUAUGACCGUUCGCAUCACAUUUUACAUAUAUAGGAGUAAAUUUAAUAUUGAAAUUUGAGAUCCUUCUAAAAUCUAAAGAAUUCAUAAAAAACACAUAUUUUCAAAAAAACCUAGAAAUUCAUGAAAAUUCAUCCUAUCAUCUUGCUUGGUAAAUAAAAUGAACCGCAAGGAAGUAACACUAUAAUACUACAUGAUAAAAUGAACAGCAAAUAAAUGAACCGCAAAUAAAUGAACAAGGACCAUGCAGAUUUUGGAGUAAUAUUACAUCUAGACUCAAUAAUUGCAUAUAUAUAUAAUAAUAGUAAUUAAUUGCAUUUAAUUUUCUUGAGUCCAGAAAAAAUGUCUGUUAAUAGUUAAUGAUAAUUUUUUUAAAGUUAAACAUUUAUUUAUAUAUUAUACUUAUUUUAAACAUAUAAAUAUAUCAAAUUGUUUUUUUAUACUAUAACUGAAUAUGACAUGACAGUUGACAAUAUUAAUUUUCGCAUAUAUAAAAUGGACUGAACAAAUUACGUAAACAACAAAUUAAACCUCAUGUCCCCAUAUAUAAAAGAAAUUAUAAAUUUAAUUAAAAGAAAAUGACGCAAAUUAUUUUAAAUGGAAGAACAUAUCUAUUGUGUUCAUGGUAUAAAACUUAAAUGUUAGUCUAUGUACUUAUACAAAAAUAGUCAUAAGUAAGAAUUACGGCAAGGAAUCGAGGUACAAAGCACUCUAAAUAAUCGGUCAUGGAGGGAGUGUAAUAGUUCAGAACGAAUUAUAUUUAUUACAUCGCUAUUUUUAUUUUUAUUUUAAUAUAGUGAGUGCUUGAAACAUUUUUCUAAUAAAAAACAUGAGAUGAGUUAUGUAACUAGACAAGACUCAAUAUAUUCUCAUUUAUUUCAAAUUAAUUAGUAUAUUGAUAACUUUUUUAUAAAAAAAUAAUCAAGAAAGAGUUCAAAAAUAUCAUUUGAUAAAUCAAAACAUCUCAACUAUAUUGACAUAUAUGACUUAUAUCUUUUAAAAUAUUAUUAAAAUAAGCAUAAAGAUACAAAAGAACUUAGGGAAACUAGACAAAAUCCAAACCAUAAUAAUCAAAGGAUAAAACUUAAUAAAAACUUUGUCAGAAAAAUCUAAAGGGAUAAAACGUGACAAGAGAAAAAGAGUACAAAGCAAAUAACAACAAAAGAAGAAUCCUUGACAAAUAUCAACAUCAAUUAAUAUGAAUUUAGUAAACCCCAAUAUAUUAUAAUUCAAAGAAUCUAAAAUGCAUAGUGGAGUAGAAACCAUCCAAAUCAAGUCAUUUUGUUGAAGGCCAAUAGAAGCAAUUUUAUCUGUAUAGUGGUUGUCCACUCUAAAAUUAUGAGAAAUGUAAAACUGCAUGUUCUUUGUAAGCUCCAUACAAUUCAACCAUCUAAUCCUUAGAUGCCAAAGAAUAAUACUAGAACUUUUGAAAUCCAUAAUAACUAGUUGAGAGCCAACCUCUAACCAAAGCCUAUUCCAAUUCUUCUUAUAACUAUCUUAAUAGCAUUCACCAACCCAUGUAACUCAACUUUGAAAGCAGUAGCGAUAUUCAAAUUGCCAACAAAUCCACCUAAAAAAUUAACAUUUGAGUCCCUCCACAAGCUUCAAGGCCUAAAAAACCAUUAUCAGUUACCAGUACCAUAUAUAUUACACUUGGCUUUGUUAAGGAUGGGGACUACUAUAAGUCUAUAACACUUCCUUAAUGCAAGGAGCAUUAGGCACAUGAACUUAAAUAAAGCUCACAAAUCCAAGAUUUAUUACAAAUCUCAAUCACAAUAUGCACAUUAUUAAUGUCCACCUGGAUAUAAAAAAUAUAAGUAAUCAAAUACUAAAGGUGCCCUGCAAAAUCACUUUCAAAAAACAAAUGCUUGUUAGAUUCUUCAUGCUUGUGGCACAAGCUACACAUGGAGACCAUGUUGCAACUUCGAGCCCUUAAAUUAUCAUCAGUAGGAACUUUGUUGUGGAACAACCUCCAAACCAAAAGAGAUUUUGAAGGAGGAAUAGAUGGAUUUAAAAUAAUCUUGGCCUAAUGUUGCUCAUUCAAGGGAGACUUUUGAAACAUGUAAGCAUCCUUAAAGUACAUUUCUCCAUUGGUGGAGUUCUUCCAAAUAAACUUGUCCUCAAUAAAGAAUUUUUAAAUGUGUACAUUUUGCAAAAAUAGAUAAAAACUCAGUGUUACUAUGCAAAAAAUAGUGAAGGAAUAAGAGAGAUAAACCACUUAUAAUCAAUAAUAAAUUUUUUUACCUUAGCAUUAAGCAGAUAAUGCCUUUCCUCGGGAAUACUGAAAAGAUUAGUCAUAACUACAUUGGGCCAUUUAUCAUGCCACAAAUUAAUGUGCUCACCAUUGCCCAUGCUCCUUGGUAAUGAAAAACUCAGUGCUUCAAACCAGUCCAAAUAGUAGAAAAAAUAUGACAAAAAUUAGAUCCUUUAUAUCUCAACACUUCAACCCUUAGAAGAAUGACCCAUUGGUAAUUUGAAGUUAUCAGCUCCCAACAUAGCUUGAGGGUGGCAGCCUCAUUGAUGUCCCCUUAUAUAUCUCAACCCAAAGCCUCAUCCUUGGUAGAAGUGCACACCUUAAGACAAACUACAGUAAUCAUCUUUUUUUUUUUUUAUGGUCAAUGUCACCAGACCACACAAAGUUUCUAAUCCAUCCCUCAAUGACAUUGAUAAGAGAUAUUGGGCAAUAAUAAAUAAAAAAGCUAUAGAUAAGCAUAUUAUGAAAAAGAAAGUAAACAAGCCUUCCAAGCUGCCAAUUUGACUUUGAUUAUUUUAAAACAAGCAUAAGGUGCACAACUUUUGGCUUAUAUUUAAAGAUAUGAAUAUGUGUUAUUUGGACACAAAAAUCCGACUCUGUAUAUACCACACACAAAUUUGGUGACAUCGAACAUCUAAAGGAGAGAGAAAAAACAUUAAAAAAGAAAAAAUCAAAACCAUAUAUAAUUAUAUAAGGAUGUCAAAAAAUCCGUCAAAAUAUAUUUUUCAUAUGAUAGUAGUAGAUACAACUAGUUACGUAUAAAAUAAAAUUAUUAUAAACACAACCAUCCAUAUUUCCUCUUUAUGUAUUAGGUCUUUCUUUUUCUGUCUUCUAGCUUUUAGUAGUUGGCAAGUAAUCAUUUAGGACUUAAGUAAUCAUUUAGGACUUAUUCAACAUGCAUGGUGGCACAGUACAUUAAACAAUAGUGCAAAUGGCCUUGCCCACUCAUUUGGCUAUUUUCAUUUAUAUCUUUAUUUGUAUUUGUCUCGAGCAAUGAUGUUUCAUCUGCAUCUCUACACCACUUGUGCUUCAGAGUACUUUCUCUAAUAUCAAAUAUAAAAGAAAUUUCUAUGGUACUUUUUUUUUUUUAAAGUGUAUUGAUAUUUUUAUUUUUUUAAUUAAUAAUUUGUUUUAUAUUUUUAUAUCAAUAUAUAUUAAGUUGAUCAAAUUAUUUAUAUCAAUAUAUAUAUAUAUAUAUAUAUAUAUAUGUAUAUAUUUUUAAUUUAAUUACUAUAAAUUUAAGUUUUCUUUUUUAUUUUAUUUUAAUUAAAAUUAAAACAUCGUUCUUUUCCGCCAUGCUUUCACUCUCUAUCAUUUUUCCACCAUCACUAGAAGAUCCCUCAUCUGUCUCACUCUCAUCUCGCUCGCGUUUGCGUCAUUGUCGUCUUGUGCCGUCGACCACUAAUCGCCGUCGUCGUUACCAGACCGUCUUUGAUUAUUAAUGAACUACAACAAAAAGAUAGACGAUGCAAAAUGAAGGAGAAAGAUUGUAAAGAACCGCGAAGGGAGACGACAAAGAACGGCAAAAAGACAGUGUGGGAUAAAACAAAAAUAUAAAAAUUCAAAAUUUGGUGGUGUUAAAUUUAAAAUAUAAUCAAACUUAUCGUAUACGAUACUCAUUAGAAUAUUAGUAAUUUAAUUUAAUAAUAUCAAAAUAUAUUAGUUUUUAAUUCUACCAUAAAAAUCACUUAAAAUAAAUAGAUCUAUUUAAUUUAAAUUUCAAAUUAAAUAUAUCAAUUUUUUUUCUUCUUAUCUUUUUCUUUUUAUAUUUGGGAUCCAAAAAUAAUCUAUUAAUACAAAUAUAUAUUUGUCUGCUUAUUAAAAAAAUAGUGCAAAUGGGUGUAAGGGAAAGUAAUUUUUUUUAAGAUAGUUGAAAUAUAAAUUUCGAAAGUCACCCUUAAUUAGCUGUCUGAAUUGAAUAAUCAAACUUAAUUAGACUUAAAUCGUAGUCCAAAAUUAGGAGUCGUCUAAGACAAAGUCUAUCCUUAUCUCUGUAAUUCCUUUACUAUAAAAUCAACAAUCACUCACAUAACAGAAAAAACACAAACAAGCAAAACAAAAACUAAAGCUAGAUUAUUAAGAUGGAUACAAAAAAUGAAAAUGAAACCACUCCUUCACGUUCACCCUUAUUAAACACAAACACAGAAACCACAACACCAACACAAACACCACAACCAACAACAACAAGUACCACACAAAAAAGUGGUACAGAUAGCAUUGGAAGCCUCAUAAAACUACUCCCAACAGGGACAGUUUUCUUGUUCCAAUUCCUAAACCCCGUUGUUACAAACAGUGGUCACUGCAAAACCAGCAACAAGUACCUAAGUUCAAUUCUUCUUGCAAUAUGCGGUUUCAAUUGCAUCUUUUCCACUUUCACAGAUAGCUACACAGGUACUGAUAACAAAAGACACUAUGGACUUGUAACACCCAAAGGAUUAUGGCCUUCAGAGGCUUCGAAUUCAAUCGAUUUAUCGAAGUAUAAGCUUAAAGUUAGUGACUUUGUUCAUGCUGUUCUAUCAUGGCUUAUUUUUGCAGUGUUGGGUCUUCUUGAUACAAACACUGUGCUAUGUUUUUACCCUUCUUUUAUGAAAACUCAGAAAACUGUUCUUCAAGUGUUGCCUGUAGCUAUUGGAGUUGUUGUUGGAUGGGUGUUUUCGGUUUUUCCACAACAAAGACAUGGAAUUGGUUACCCUCCUAGUACUGAUUCUACUGAAACAACCUCUACCAUAUCAUCCAAUGGAACUUCCCAAAUUCCAACCAAUAAUGUUUAAGAGAAUCAUCUUUCCAUUUUCUCUCUAUCAUGGCAAAAUUUAUUAUAUUAAGAAAGAAAAUAUUUUUUCUUAAUAUAAUGCUCUGUAGUUAGAAUUUAUUUUGUGUGACGGUGGUUUUUUAUUGUUUUAAAUUUAUUUAUGAACUUUGUGUUGGUGUGAAAAUUCUUGUGUAAUGCAACAUAAAUUUGUGCCACUGUAAAGUCGUAUUUGUGUGAAUAAUUCUUGAUUGAGUUUAUUGGUGGUACCAAGGCUGUUAAUUUUUUGAGAUUAUAAUUUAUAAAUACUUGAUUUUUUCAUACAAAAAUUGAUUGUUUUCUCACAAAAAGUCUCAAAUUGAACUUUUUGUUGUUGUUCAAAUGAACCUUCUUAGAUUAAGAAACAGCCAAAGAAACCUCAAUUUGAACUUUAGUUAGUUUGAACUUUGAAUCAACGACCGUGUGUAUAUUAUAUCUACGUGUAUGUAUAUUAAGACAAAAGUCUCUAAAAAAUAAUCACUCAUUAAUAUACAUCACAAUCAGCUUUCUUUCGUCGUCAUUUCAUUUUUCGUAAGUAACAUUGGAAUCUAUUGUAAUUAAUGGAAUAUAUUAUAAUUAAAUGAAAACUCCAUUUUUCAUUUAAAUAAAGACUGAUUUUUAAAGAGGAUUUAUAUGGUACAUUUGGAAAACCAACGGCCUUGGCACCAUUUGUUAUUUGAAUUAAUAUUUAAAUUGAUAAUCAAUUAUAAGACUUCUUUUAAAAUAGAAGCUAAAAUGAAUAAAUAUAAAGACUAAAAAUAUAUUUAAUUUUAUGAAUUAUUAUAACAUUGUACAUAAGAUAAAUAUUUGUUCCUAAAUGAUUAUCACAAAGUUUUUUAAGAAAUGAGUCACUAAAAGAGUGUUUAAUACAUACAUGGGAAAAAUAUUUUUCAUUAAUUAAUUAAUUAAAUUUAAUACUUUUUCAUAUCUUCUAAAUAAAAAUAAAAAUAAUUAAAAUAUACUACAUUCUUAAUCAUAAGCACCAUUUAAAAAAAAUUAUCUCUAACUAUAAGCACAUUUUUAGAGGGACUAUAAAUAUAUUCACACGACCAAAAACCUAUUUAAUGUUAUUUUAAUAUAUUCGCAUAAAAAUGAGAAUGAUUAUAUUAAUUCACACACGAGACUAUAUUUGUUAUUAAUUAAUUAGUUUAAUUUAAUAUUUUAUGAAUAUCGUAUAAAUAUAAAUAACAAUAUAUUAAUUAUAAAAAUCAUACACAUAAUAAAUAUUUUUCAUUAAAAAUUAGUUAAACUUAUUUUUGUUUUAAAUAUUAUCCACAUAGAAACGAUAUCAAUUAUAAUACACAUACUAUGGUCUACUUGAAUAAUUAACCAAUUCAAUCAAUUUAUAUAUAACAAUUAUUAUAUCAUUCAGUAAAAAAAUUAUAUAUCCUAAUAGUUUGUAUUUAACUAAUCAUUUUAUUCUUGUAAAAAAAAAACUAAUCAUUUUAUUAACUAUAAUUACAUUGGACUAAUAAAUUGAACCUAUGCGAAUUACAAUUUUAAAAUAUUAUAUUUGCAUCGAAUACAUCUCAUCAUAAUAUUAUAUAAGAUAUAUUAUAUUUAAAUGACAAAAUUGUCAUAGUAAAACGAUAACAUACUAUUUUUUUUUCCAAAUAACUAAAAAUAUUUUAAAUAUAUUAUAAAUUAAUAAAAAAUACUAAAAAAAUAAAUAAACAAUGAAAUAAUUUUGUAUUUAAAAAUCCAUUGACACUACUAAACAAAGAAUUUAAAGCUUUUAAAAAAUCACGAGUAACUAAGUAGUUAUAUUUAAUUUGUUAGAAAAGUAAAAUAAAAAUAUAAUAUAUAUUAUAUGUAAAUAGAAAAAAUACCAUUAUAAUAAAAUUAUAUUUAUUUACAAAAAUUUAGAUUAAUAUUGAUAGUUUUUUAAUUUUUUAAUAAUAAAUUAUUAGAUUAUAUAAAAUGAUGAAACUAUCUUUGUCAUAAAAUUAUUACAUAUUUUUUAAAAUCAAUUAUUUAUAUUUUACUUUUAAAUUUAAUAUCAAAUGCCAUUGUUUCUUAAUUUAUAUUUUAUUAGAUUUUAAUUUUAUACAUUUUAAAGUAUAUAUUUUAUAAAAAUAAUUGAGUAAAUUAUUAUUUUUUUGAAUCAUAUUUUUUCUAACUCAUUUCAUAUUCAAAAUAAAAAUUAUAACUAAAGAGGCAUGAUAUAAUAGUUUUUAAGAAUAACUUAUCUUAUUGUGUUAUUGUGUUAGUACAUCAAGAAAAAGACAUGAUAUGAUAUUUAUAUUAUUUCAUGUUUUUUAUCAUAUAUAUUAAAUGAACCAUUAAUACUGUGCACGAUACAUCUAUUAUUUAUUGAUAAUAAAUUAAAUUAUGAUAUACACAACCAUCCAUAUCUCCUCUUUAUGUAUUAGGUCUUUCUUUUUGUUUUGAGUUUUAUCUUUUAGUAGUUGAUAAGUAAUCAAUCCUUUUAGACAUAAGUAAUCGUUUAGGACUUAUUCAACAUGCAUGUCAAUGGCAUAGUGCAUAAGACAAUAGUGCAAAUGGCCAAAUGGGUGUAAAGAAAAGUAUUAUUUUUAAGGUAGUUGAGAUAUACAUUUCAAAAGUCCACUAUUAACUAGCAGCCUCAAAUCAUUAAUCUAACUUAAUUAGACUCAAAUCCAAGUCUAACUAAAUUAGGAGUCAUUUAAGACAAAGUCUCUUUACUCCUCUAUAAAAACAAACAAUCACAUAACAGAAAAACACAAACAAGCAAAACAAAAACUAUAGCUAGCUAGAUUCUCACCAACAGAAUCUCUUUAAUUAUUACUAAGAUGGAUAAAAAAAAUGAAACUGUUCCUUCACAUUCAUCCUUAAACAUAGAAACACCACCAACAACAACAAGUACCACCAACAAAAGUACAAAUGGCAUUGGAAGCCUCAUAAAACUACUUCCAACAGGAACAGUUUUCUUGUUCCAAUUCCUAAACCCUGUUGUUACAAACAGUGGUCAGUGCAAAGCAAUCAAUAAGUACCUAAGUUCAAUUCUUCUUGCAAUAUGCGGUUUCAAUUGCUUCUUUUCUACUUUCACAGAUAGCUACACAGGUACUGAUAACAAAAGACACUAUGGAUUUG
This 29965-nucleotide long non-coding RNA is filed under the name Cicer arietinum (chickpea). RNAcentral's name for it is "long non-coding RNA (CARI_LNC002199)". Lineage: Eukaryota; Viridiplantae; Streptophyta; Magnoliopsida; Fabales; Fabaceae. The record is from RNAcentral.